GGCGAUGGAGAAGAAUCUUACCUCUGAUGUCGAGAUAGGUAGAUGUGAAGUCUUCUUAAGAGCCCAUACAAGAAAGGACAAAGUUGUCCAGUAUCCUAACCUUGCUGAAAAACUAGAUGAGCUCUAUAGUAGCAAUCCUGCUUCUAGGAUGACCGGCAUGGAUGAAGCCCUUACAGAGUUGGUUGGUUCUGACAAUAGAGGGUGAAUGCGGGGUCUAGGUUGCUCAAUAAGCAAGGUAGGACUGAAGAAGUCAGCCCCUGCUCGUUCAAAGGUAGAGAAUGUGACAAAAGAAAAAGAGAGUGUAACUCAAGAGUUAUCUCAGGUGAAGAAAAAAUUGGAUGGUAUGACUCAAGAUAUAUUUGAGAUGAAGAAAACAUUGGUGUAUAUGCAGAAAGAGAGACAGUAUACUCAAAAUCUCUCAUUACCAAUAGUCGCUAAAUCUACUCAGGCAUCGUCGGUAUGCAAGUAUAAAUUUUUUACUGUAUUGAGCUUACAAUUAUAUUAUAAACGUUAACAAUACCAAUGCCAUUUUAUGUGUAAAUGUAGCUGGAUAUUAUAUAUAUCAGUAAGAGAUGCGACUUGCUUGGUUUUGGAAAACGUGGUGUA
Long non-coding RNA from Magnolia sinica, 606 nucleotides. RefSeq lists it as uncharacterized. The transcript is spliced from 3 exons. The record is from RefSeq and is a predicted model, not a curated record. NCBI's taxonomy places the organism in Eukaryota, Viridiplantae, Streptophyta, Magnoliopsida, Magnoliales, Magnoliaceae.